RNAcentral lists this small RNA (119 nucleotides) under bovine gut metagenome. Its description in RNAcentral is "Histidine operon leader". It matches the Rfam family "Histidine operon leader". Rfam says of the family: At least 6 amino acid operons are known to be regulated by attenuation. In each a leader sequence of 150-200 bp is found upstream of the first gene in the operon. This leader sequence can assume two different secondary structures known as the terminator and the anti-terminator structure. The record is from RNAcentral. RNAcentral also lists the same sequence under 1 other name.
UCAUCAUCAUCGUCCUAAAUAGUCUUUCAGGAUGGUGAGCUGGAAGACUGAUUUCUUCCGGCGGGCAGAUCAAAAAGUUGCUAAACCCUUGGAAGAAAAUCACUUCCAGGGGUUUUAAU